UACGUAGGGGGCAAGCGUUGUCCGGAUUUAUUGGGCGUAAAGAGCGUGUAGGCGGCCAUGUAGGUCCGUUGUGAAAACUGGAGGCUCAACCUCCAGCCUGCAGUGGGUACGGGCAAACUAGAGUGCGGUAGGGGAGAUUGGAAUUCCUGGUGUAGCGGUGGAAUGCGCAGAUAUCAGGAGGAACACCGAUGGCGAAGGCAGAUCUCUGGGCCGUAACUGACGCUGAGGAGCGAAAGCAUGGGGAGCGAACAGG
This 253-nucleotide ribosomal RNA is filed under the name uncultured bacterium. Its description in RNAcentral is "partial 16S ribosomal RNA". It matches the Rfam family "Bacterial small subunit ribosomal RNA", at positions 524 to 776 of the family's 1533-position model. The record is from RNAcentral.